This 390-nucleotide ribosomal RNA is filed under the name uncultured Hydrogenophaga sp. RNAcentral's name for it is "bacterial SSU rRNA". It matches the Rfam family "Bacterial small subunit ribosomal RNA", at positions 65 to 459 of the family's 1533-position model. The record is from RNAcentral. Lineage: Bacteria; Pseudomonadati; Pseudomonadota; Betaproteobacteria; Burkholderiales; Comamonadaceae.
AACGGUAACAGGCCGCAAGGUGCUGACGAGUGGCGAACGGGUGAGUAAUGCAUCGGAACGUGCCCGGUCGUGGGGGAUAACACUUCGAAAGAAGUGCUAAUACCGCAUACGAUCUGAGGAUGAAAGCGGGGGACCGUAAGGCCUCGCGCGAUCGGAGCGGCCGAUGUCAGAUUAGGUAGUUGGUGGGGUAAAGGCUCACCAAGCCAACGAUCUGUAGCUGGUCUGAGAGGACGACCAGCCACACUGGGACUGAGACACGGCCCAGACUCCUACGGGAGGCAGCAGUGGGGAAUUUUGGACAAUGUGCGCAAGCCUGAUCCAGCAAUGCCGCGUGCAGGAAGAAGGCCUUCGGGUUGUAAACUGCUUUUUGUACGGAACGAAACGGUCCGG